This 227-nucleotide long non-coding RNA is filed under the name Hordeum vulgare. RNAcentral describes it as "long non-coding RNA (HVUL_LNC009544)". The record is from RNAcentral. Lineage: Eukaryota; Viridiplantae; Streptophyta; Magnoliopsida; Poales; Poaceae.
UAAUAAUAAUCUCGAAGUUAUCUUGAACACCUACUUAUGUCAGACAUAACCCCAACGUGUCCUUUAUCGGACACAAAGCUCACCAGAAGAGACAGUCAUGGUUAUGCACACAGUUGACAAGUUUUAAUUAAGUUUACUUCUGGUUUGCUAUGACCAGGUGUUAAACAAAGUUUCCAAGUUGCCACAUAACCGUGAGCACGACUUUUUGAAAGAUAUAAUCCUACAAG